GCCGAGGUCCUCUUCCAGGAUUGGCUACCUCCUCAUAACCAUAAGAUAAUUAAAACUUGGCGGGGGGGGGGGGCAGGGUUAAAAAAACUUUUUUUAUCAGUCAGAGGAUAAUGCAAGUGUUUAACAGAUGCUUCACUAUUAAAAUAUUUUCCCCCCAAGUCUCAAAUAUUGAAGAAUCUCUAACCAGGGACACCAGUCCCUACGAAGACCUUGGGCGAUUUUGAAGUGCGGGCACCUCGAUUCCCCGAAUCUGUAGUGUGGCUGGUAUCGGUGUUCCCCUGGUUUAACUAGCCUGUUUGAAGGCACAGAUCAUUCAUGGGGAUGUAUAACCGAAACCAGUCCUCUCCACCGCCUGGGGAUCUUCACUUUCGCAGUCUACGACUGCCUGUGACUCCAGAAAGACAAACUGCAGAUUGGCCAAGGUCCAGCCUAAAUGUUACCUCCUCCAGGGAGCCUUUCCAGAUACUGCUUCUCCUCUCUCCCCCAACUCCCUCCCACAAAUGAAGUUUUCUCUUCUGAAUUCCUUGCUGGUACUGUCACUUAUAUUCUUUUGGGUAGAUCUCUGGGCAUGCAUAUGUCACCUCCUGUGACUGUGGGUUUCUUGACAACCUAAUCAAUGCAUUGAACAAAGGAGAUGUUUAGACAACCCAUAUAAAAUGAAUAAGAGAAAUAGGGUGAAUACCGUCUACCCCAAUUGCAAUCAGAUUAGUUUCCUUUAUUUUGAAAACGAUUAGAACUAGUAGAGGAGUUAGAUGUGGCCCACUAGGGAACAAAUUUUCAUCUCCAAGCCGUCCUCUGGCUCGAUCGGGUCUGCACUGGGUCUGCAUCAACUUGCGCUGGCUCAGAGGGAGGCUCAGCCCCAGCCUGGCCUUCCUGGUGCCCACUCCCAACAUCCUGAGCAGGGCCGACUCUAGGCACCCCACGAUUAGCUGAGUGAUCUAGGGCAAGGACCUAGGCGUCUCUAAGUCUUAGUUUCCCCAUCUGAACAAUGUGGAUAAUGACACGUACCUGGGGUGGGCAGGCUAGAGUAAAUGGGAAAAUCAAAGCGCCAGCCAGAGCGGGUCGCACUGUUAGUUCCUGUAUUUUCUCCUCCUGCCUCUGGUUUCUUCCGUUCCGUUCUAGCUGCCUGAAGACCCAGCCCGACAGCGAUGCCUGUCAGCCCGCGUCGCCCACCAGGGCAGCUGCUCUCCCAACUCGCAUGGGGGGCACCACCCCGCCUCGGUGCCCUAGAGCUGAGCGCAGCCGCGGCUCCACGGGGAUCGCCAGGGCCUCAGCCCUCGCGGCCGGCGGCGCGGGAGUGUUGCGGGGCAGGGACCAGAGCGCGAUCAGAGCGGCCACCCCCGAUUUAGGUCGCCAGCUUUCCAGUCACUGCGAUGGCCACUGGGGCGCCCCUUCCAUCCUGGUUAAAUUCUCAUUGUGAUCCCCAGCCCUCUUCUCGGUUCCCCACACCCAGGAGGCCGGUUCUCCGCCGCUCAGGCUGGGAGAGGUCACCGCUCCGGGCAGGGUGGACCCCCAGCUCCGUCUCGGAGGACCUUUCGCCGGAGGCGAGCAGGAAGGGGUUAACCAUGAGCCUCCCACCCUCACCUCCCAGACCCUGGUGCCGGGCUAAGGCCUCCGCUUCCCUCCUGAGGUCUCAUUAGGAAACCCUCACCGCUAUUUUCAACAUUUCCUCAAUCAAGUGCCUUUAAAUAGAGCUGCACAAACAGAUUGGCGGCAAAAGCGUAGAUCUUGUCACGAUUGAGACCAAUCCAGUAUUUCAGCCUUGUUUGCUUUGCAAUUACGGGUUGGCUUGUGGCUACGGUGCCACCGGGGCAAAUCUGCAGCCGCUCGCUUUCUCCUCUGCGCUCCGGGCGGGUGGAGGAAGCGACCCGCGGAGUCACUGCAGGGAGGAGAGGGGGACGCGCGCGGGGGGAGGCGGCGGAGGGCGGAGGAGACUCGCUUGCACCCCAGGGCCGCGGGCACGCAGAGCUGUGUUGAAGGACAUACUUUUCAGGUUCCUGACAGUCACUGAGCUAUACGCAAUAAUAAAGUGCGUGAUUCGCGUGUGGAAACCAGUGUCGUGUCCUUACCAGCUUCCUUUUCUGUCCACCUUCCCUCUCUCUUCUACCUCCGUUUCGCUUUUCUUCAGUGCAUGUUAGCGGUUUGCUGGAUUUCCCUUCUCCCUCGCUGUUCAACUGCUAGCAUGAUUUGUUACAUUUUCCACAGCUGUUUAUUCUUGUUUGACUUUUUGUACAAAGUCACUUUAAAUCUGCUGCAGAAAGAAUAAAGCACCUAGCCCUUUGGAUGGACUCCUGCAGGCGUGUGGCUGUCCCUGGCCCACUUUUAAUUCUUUGGAGAUGGCUCUUCUGUGUAAAUCAGCUGCUGGGUGCGUUCGGUCACCUCGUAGGCCAGCCUAGUUUGUAUCAGCAGAACAGUAGUGGACUCGACUCAGGUCGUAAGCCUUAUAUUUCACAGACAAUUAAAUCUUGGCUGCUGUUGAACAAAACUGUAAUAUUUACUUUGUUCUAUACCGAGAAGCACUUUUAAAGUAAAAA
Long non-coding RNA from Homo sapiens (human), 2534 nucleotides. Ensembl annotates it as HAND2 antisense RNA 1. Its record names the gene HAND2-AS1. The record is from Ensembl. Lineage: Eukaryota; Metazoa; Chordata; Mammalia; Primates; Hominidae.